UUUAUCAAAAUAUUGAUUUGUGGUGUCAAAGAUAUAAGAAAUUAUUUUAGGCC
RNAcentral lists this transfer RNA (53 nucleotides) under Siphlonurus immanis. RNAcentral's name for it is "tRNA-His". The record is from RNAcentral. Lineage: Eukaryota; Metazoa; Arthropoda; Insecta; Ephemeroptera; Siphlonuridae.